RNAcentral lists this transfer RNA (69 nucleotides) under Xenos cf. moutoni RZ-2020. RNAcentral describes it as "tRNA-Gln". The record is from RNAcentral. Lineage: Eukaryota; Metazoa; Arthropoda; Insecta; Strepsiptera; Xenidae. RNAcentral also lists the same sequence under 1 other name.
UAUAUUAUAGUAUAAUAAGUACAUAGAUUUUUGAUGUCUAAGGAUUAAGUUUUAUUCUGUAUAAUAUAU